UCACAUUCUGUAAUGCUGAGGGCCUAGCAAGU
Molecule: non-coding RNA, 32 nt
Filed under: Mus musculus (house mouse)
Lineage: Eukaryota; Metazoa; Chordata; Mammalia; Rodentia; Muridae
Source: RNAcentral